Molecule: ribosomal RNA, 254 nt
Filed under: uncultured bacterium
Lineage: Bacteria
Description: partial 16S ribosomal RNA
Rfam family: Bacterial small subunit ribosomal RNA
Source: RNAcentral
UACGUAGGCAGCGAGCGUUGUUCGGAGUUACUGGGCGUAAAGGGUGUGUAGGCGGUUGUUUAAGUUUGGUGUGAAAUCUCCCGGCUCAACUGGAAGGGUGCGCCGAAUACUGAAUGACUUGGAGUGCGGGAGAGGAAAGUGGAAUUCCUGGUGUAGCGGUGAAAUGCGUAGAUAUCAGGAGGAACACCGGUGGUGUAGACGGCUUUCUGGACCGUAACUGACGCUGAGACACGAAAGCGUGGGUAGCAAACAGG